UGAUAAAUGGGAAAUGCUUAUAUCUCAGUGUUAAUUAUACUUUCUAUAGGCUGCAUAUUGGUUGCUUUUUUAUUAAUUAUUUUGUUAUUCAGGAUUUAUGUAAUUGAGGUUUAUCAUGUUGCUGGGAGGGGGCAUAAGUGGGAAGAUAAAUUGAUCAUGUUUGAGCAUUUAUUAGAAUCAACACUGGAAGAGCAUUUAAGAAACAGUCUUUUAAGAGUCGGGUCAACAUACACUGAGUAGAGGCCUUUGAUGAUGAAUACCAUGAAGCUUACUGCCAUUUUAUAAUCUACAAGAUAACCUGCAUUUAUAAGUAAUAUCCAUGAAGCUUACUGCCACUUUAUAAUCUACCUGAGAAUAUCUUAAUGAAAAGCAGAUAUGUAGAAGCUUGGAAAAUAUCUUCUUUUUUAUCAUUGCUUAAAAUGUUAUCAGUUUGUAAUCAGGCGGGC
Molecule: long non-coding RNA, 446 nt
Filed under: Panax ginseng (ginseng)
Lineage: Eukaryota; Viridiplantae; Streptophyta; Magnoliopsida; Apiales; Araliaceae
Description: long non-coding RNA (PGIN_LNC011142)
Source: RNAcentral